AGCGGGGUACGCAACUGGCGAUAGGCGCAGCCGCUUCACGCACCGCUGCCGCUGACGUGGAAACCAGCAGAAGGCCCGAGAAGGACCACCUUCUGUGAACCACCGGGGAGCGUACCGCCCAGCCUCCAUGCGCACGCGGGAUCUGGAGUGUUCCGCCGUUCGCCUGGGCAGCCCUU
Molecule: non-coding RNA, 176 nt
Filed under: Delftia acidovorans SPH-1
Lineage: Bacteria; Pseudomonadati; Pseudomonadota; Betaproteobacteria; Burkholderiales; Comamonadaceae
Description: ZMP/ZTP riboswitch aptamer (pfl RNA motif)
Rfam family: ZMP/ZTP riboswitch aptamer (pfl RNA motif)
About the family: Previously known as pfl RNA. ZMP is also known as AICAR.
Source: Rfam by way of RNAcentral